AAAAAAAAAAAAGAAGAAGAAGAAAGGUCCGAUUCUUUCUAUUUUUCUCUUUGGGUUUUCUUGAAAAAUCAUGAUCGACGUUGAUUUAACUGUCCAAACUCAAAUCCAAUUUCGGUAACGUGAUCUACAAAGCUCAAUCUACGUUUCUACCAAUUAGUUUGAGGAUUUGUUGUAAGGAGCUUGCUAAACACUAUCCAAGUGUCGGAUUUACAUUUGGUGAAAUUUUGACGUUUAUACUUUGGUUGCAGGGUUUGCAGAUAUAGAUAUUGAUUCGUCCACCUAGCGUAAGUGAUGCUAUGAUUGGAGCAUACACAAUAGUCAUAAGUUACAGACUCAUGGGUAAUCUGCAUUUUAGUUUUGAAGCUCACGCGGCUACUUGUUGGCUCCCCACUAGCCUCUCUCAUGCAUCAGAUCUCCGUCGUUGGGUUCCUGGUUUUGCAUAUGGAGAUCUCAUUUUCAGGUUGCAGAUUAUUUGUGGAAGAUUCUGGCUCCUGUUGUGUUGACGUCCUCUAUGAUAUCAUUGCUUGGUUCCUCACUUCCUCUCUUGCAGGACGUCAAGGUGGUGACUCAGCCAAGCAGCUAAGUUCCAGCAUAUACCAGUGUGUUUUUUCUAGCUGUGGCUUUUUACUGCGGUAGACUGCCGCAUCAAACCGCCAAGUGGGGCGGCUUUUUCUUAGCCCCAAGGUUCAACUGGACUGAGUCAACUUUUUGGCUCAUCCUUAUUAGCUUUAGGAUCUUUAUGCAUCGCAUUGGUUGGUUUCUUUGGGUGUUUGUUGUUUUGCCCACCUUAUUUUGUAUUGGAUAAUUGAUUUAUGCAUUUUAUCUUCCCCUUCUACUCUUGUAAUUGCUUAGGGAAAAAAAGAACAAGAAAAAGAGAGUAAUCUAUUGGAGUCUUUCAGGCAGGUUGAUGAAUCAAA
Long non-coding RNA from Alnus glutinosa, 917 nucleotides. RefSeq lists it as uncharacterized. The record is from RefSeq and is a predicted model, not a curated record. NCBI's taxonomy places the organism in Eukaryota, Viridiplantae, Streptophyta, Magnoliopsida, Fagales, Betulaceae. The transcript has 4 exons.